RNAcentral lists this ribosomal RNA (711 nucleotides) under Helvella maculata. RNAcentral describes it as "eukaryotic LSU rRNA". The stretch from base 473 to 711 matches the Rfam family "Eukaryotic large subunit ribosomal RNA", at positions 1 to 237 of the family's 3401-position model. Lineage: Eukaryota; Fungi; Ascomycota; Pezizomycetes; Pezizales; Helvellaceae. The record is from RNAcentral.
UUACAGAGCUCAUGCCCUUCGGGGUAGACCUCCACCCUUGCAUACCUUACCUUUGUUGCUUUGGCGGCCCGCCUCACCUUGUGUGAGGCCACUGGUCUUGGCCGGUGCGUGACCGUCGAAGGUUAUCAACUCUAUAAUUUAUGUCGUCUGAGUACUAUACAAUAGUUAAAACUUUCAACAACGGAUCUCUUGGUUCUGGCAUCGAUGAAGAACGCAGCGAAAUGCGAUAAGUAAUGUGAAUUGCAGAAUUCAGUGAAUCAUCGAAUCUUUGAACGCACAUUGCGCCCCCUGGCAUUCCGGGGGGCAUGCCUGUUCGAGCGUCAUUAACACCACUCAAGCUCAGCUUGGUAUUGGGUCACGCCAGCAAUGGUGAACCUCAAACUCAGUGGCGGCACCGUUGGGUCCCGAGCGUAGUAAAUAUCUCGCUGAGGGUUCCCUCUGGUUGGCGACCAACAACCCAAUUUUCUAAGGUUGACCUCGGAUCAGGUAGGAAUACCCGCUGAACUUAAGCAUAUCAAUAAGCGGAGGAAAAGAAACCAACAGGGAUUGCCUCAGUAACGGCGAGUGAAGCGGCAACAGCUCAAAUUUGAAAUCUGGCUCUUUCAGGGUCCGAGUUGUAAUUUGUAGAAGAUGCUUCGGGUGUGGUGCCGGUCUAAGUUCCUUGGAACAGGACGUCAUAGAGGGUGAGAAUCCCGUACGUGACCGUGCGCC